GUAGGCUAUGGUGAUAUGACGCCGCAUACAGCGCUCGGUCGCCUAGUGGGCAGUCUGUGCGCAAUAAUGGGUGUGCUGACCAUUGCGCUUCCCGUCCCCGUCAUCGUCAGCAAC
Molecule: non-coding RNA, 114 nt
Organism: Gongylonema pulchrum
Lineage: Eukaryota; Metazoa; Nematoda; Chromadorea; Rhabditida; Gongylonematidae
Source: Rfam